AACGGUCUAUACCUGCGGUACCUGCGGAAGGAUCAUUACUGAGUGAGGGCCCUCUGGGUCCAACCUCCCACCCGUGUUUAACGAACCUUGUUGCUUCGGCGGGCCCGCCUCACGGCCGCCGGGGGGCAUCCGCCCCCGGGCCCGCGCCCGCCGAAGACACCUGUGAACUCUGUCUGAAGUUGCAGUCUGAGAAACUAUUUAAAUUAGUUAAAACUUUCAACAACGGAUCUCUAGAUCGGA
Molecule: unclassified non-coding RNA, 240 nt
Filed under: soil metagenome
Description: partial contains 5.8S ribosomal RNA, internal transcribed spacer 2, and large subunit ribosomal RNA
Source: RNAcentral